This 763-nucleotide ribosomal RNA is filed under the name uncultured Streptococcus sp. RNAcentral's name for it is "bacterial SSU rRNA". It matches the Rfam family "Bacterial small subunit ribosomal RNA", at positions 28 to 776 of the family's 1533-position model. The record is from RNAcentral. Lineage: Bacteria; Bacillati; Bacillota; Bacilli; Lactobacillales; Streptococcaceae.
GACGAACGCGGCGGCGUGCCUAAUACAUGCAAGUAGAACGCUGAAGGAGGAGCUUGCUUCUCUGGAUGAGUUGCGAACGGGUGAGUAACGCGUAGGUAACCUGCCUGGUAGCGGGGGAUAACUAUUGGAAACGAUAGCUAAUACCGCAUAAGAGUAGAUGUUGCAUGACAUUUGCUUAAAAGGUGCAAUUGCAUCACUACCAGAUGGACCUGCGUUGUAUUAGCUAGUUGGUGGGGUAACGGCUCACCAAGGCGACGAUACAUAGCCGACCUGAGAGGGUGAUCGGCCACACUGGGACUGAGACACGGCCCAGACCCCUACGGGAGGCAGCAGUAGGGAAUCUUCGGCAAUGGACGGAAGUCUGACCGAGCAACGCCGCGUGAGUGAAGAAGGUUUUCGGAUCGUAAAGCUCUGUUGUAAGAGAAGAACGAGUGUGAGAGUGGAAAGUUCACACUGUGACGGUAUCUUACCAGAAAGGGACGGCUAACUACGUGCCAGCAGCCGCGGUAAUACGUAGGUGGCAAGCGUUAUCCGGAUUUAUUGGGCGUAAAGAGAGUGCAGGCGGUUUUCUAAGUCUGAUGUGAAAGCCUUCGGCUUAACCGGAGAAGUGCAUCGGAAACUGGAUAACUUGAGUGCAGAAGAGGGUAGUGGAACUCCAUGUGUAGCGGUGGAAUGCGUAGAUAUAUGGAAGAACACCAGUGGCGAAGGCGGCUACCUGGUCUGCAACUGACGCUGAGACUCGAAAGCAUGGGUAGCGAACAGG